GGUGCGUAGGCGGUUUAUUAAGUCAGUGGUGAAAGACGGUCGACUCAACGGAUUGCCAGUGCCAUUGAUACUGGUAGACUUGAGUGGGAUUGAGGUAGCUGGAAUGGAUAGUGUAGCGGUGAAAUGCAUAGAUAUUAUCCAGAACACCAAUUGCGUAGGCAAGUUACUAAGUCUCAACUGACGCUGAGGCACGAAAGUGUGGGUAUCAAACAGGAUUAGAUACCCCUGGU
Molecule: ribosomal RNA, 230 nt
Filed under: uncultured bacterium
Lineage: Bacteria
Description: partial 16S ribosomal RNA
Rfam family: Bacterial small subunit ribosomal RNA
Source: RNAcentral